UACAGAGGUCUCGAGCGUUAGGCGGAAUCACUGGGCUUUAAAGCGUGUGUAGGUGGAUGCCUAAGUACCUUGUGAAAUCCCACAGCUUAACUGUGGAACUGCUUGGUAUACUGGGUGUCUUGAGUCACUCAGGGGCGAGCGGAACAAAUGGUGGAGCGGUGAAAUGCGUAGAUAUCAUUUGGAACGCCAAUGGUGAAAACAGCUCGCUGGGGGUGUACUGACACUGAGACACGAAAGCCAGGGGAGCGAACGGG
Molecule: ribosomal RNA, 254 nt
Filed under: uncultured bacterium
Lineage: Bacteria
Description: partial 16S ribosomal RNA
Rfam family: Bacterial small subunit ribosomal RNA
Source: RNAcentral